GACGAACGCUGGCGGCGUGCUUAACACAUGCAAGUCGAACGGAAAGGCCCUGCUUUUGUGGGGUGCUCGAGUGGCGAACGGGUGAGUAACACGUGAGUAACCUGCCCUUGACUUUGGGAUAACUUCAGGAAACUGGGGCUAAUACCGGAUAGGAGCUCCUGCUGCAUGGUGGGGGUUGGAAAGUUUCGGCGGUUGGGGAUUGACUCGCGGCUUAUCAGCUUGUUUGUUGGGUAGUGGCUUACCAAUGCUUUGACGGGUAGCCGGCCUGAGAGGGUGACCGGAAAAAUUGGGAAUGAGAGACGGCCCAGAAUCAAACGGGAGGCAGCAGUGGGGAAUAUUGCACAAUGGGCGGAAGCCUGAUGCAGCAACGCCGCGUGCGGGAUGACGGCCUUCGGGUUGUAAACCGCUUUCGCCUGUGACGAAGCGUGAGUGACGGUAAUGGGUAAAGAAGCACCGGCUAACUACGUG
This 468-nucleotide ribosomal RNA is filed under the name uncultured bacterium. RNAcentral's name for it is "partial 16S ribosomal RNA". It matches the Rfam family "Bacterial small subunit ribosomal RNA", at positions 28 to 507 of the family's 1533-position model. The record is from RNAcentral.